AAGAACUUUUGGAAGACUUACCAGAAGUAUUAGCUACCKGUAAAGAAGUUGCGAAAGAGGUUAUGUCUAAAAUGACUGAGGGCUUGGAAAAGCUUUGUGACAAUGCUCGCAAAAAGUUAAUAGUAGAAAAUAUUCCAUCGACUUYGAAAAAUGCUUUGGAUAAGAGGGUAACAGUUUUGGGGAAAAAACAAGAAAGUUGCGAAAAGAGGGUCAAAACUGUGGAACAAAAAGUUAAAGAUAUUACAUCAAGCACAGACAAGGAGCCAGUAGAGUAUUUUGGGAUUCUUUUUACUGAUCGUUAUUUCGAUGACCUCCCAGAGGAUAUUUUCUACUCUAUGAUACGGUACUUCGACGAUAAAGACAUACAAUGGAUUGGAGAGGGACCGUGGAAACCAGAGAAAUUUCUUCGUAAAUUUCCAAAAGAAGGUUACGAAAGAAAAGAUUGUCUACAAUAUCUAUUUGAAGUUUUGGGUGAAAAUUUUCCAGCAGUUGUAUAAACUAUUAGGAUUGCUAACGGUUGGUAAAGAGUUAGUGACUACGCCUCUCAAGGAUAACCAAGAGCUCAAAGAAAAAACCAUAGAAAUUGUAAGUAGAAACCCGGAUUGCUGCUGGGAGACUUUGGCUGGUCAUUUACAAGUCGAUGAAACGAUAUUGAAGAAAUGUAGGGAAGAUUACUCGGGAGAUACACAUGAARUAACAAGCCAGAURCUCAGAGAAUGGAUCGAAACAUCAGAUAAGAACUGUACAUUAGAGAUCAUAUUUGAUGCUUUAMGGUUGUGUGAGUAUAAAGAAACAGGGAUAGAACUAGCCACCUAUACGACGGAAAUAUGCAGAAUACAAUUGCACAGCUAACAGGGAUUGGUAGAAUACGAAAAUGAGUUGUUUUGUUGUUCGACAUCUUGGAACAAGAUCUAGAGACGACCUCGGAGCGACUAAAACUCAAGAACCUUGCAGAUUAGAACUCCUGGGCGGUAGGAAURAAAGGUGUAGGCUAAACCAGCUCUGCAUAAGCCAACGACAUCCAAGAACUGAUAAACAAGGCUGAAGAUUAAAGUUUUCUUAGUUAACUACGUACGCUUAUUAUUUUUUAUGAUCAAUUAUCUGUAAUCUAUUGACCUCUUAUAAUAAAUUAUAUUUUGCUAUAUGA
Actinia tenebrosa (Australian red waratah sea anemone) is the source of this 1147-nucleotide long non-coding RNA. Lineage: Eukaryota; Metazoa; Cnidaria; Anthozoa; Actiniaria; Actiniidae. The record is from RefSeq and is a predicted model, not a curated record.